This 211-nucleotide unclassified non-coding RNA is filed under the name soil metagenome. RNAcentral's name for it is "partial contains 5.8S ribosomal RNA, internal transcribed spacer 2, and large subunit ribosomal RNA". The record is from RNAcentral.
AACCUAGCACACCUGCGGUGUGUACCUGCGGAGGGAUCAUUACCGAGUUAUACAACUCAUCAACCCCUGUGAACUUACCUACAACGUUGCUUCGGCGGGAACAGACGGCCCCGUAAAACGGGCCGCCCCCGCCAGAGGACCCCUAACUCUGUUUUUAUAAUGUUUUUCUGAGUAAACAAGCAAAUAAAUUAAAACUUUUAACAACGGAUCU